GACGAACGCUGGCGGCGUGCUUAACACAUGCAAGUCGAACGGAAAGGCCCUGCUUUUGUGGGGUGCUCGAGUGGCGAACGGGUGAGUAACACGUGAGUAACCUGCCCUUGACUUUGGGAUAACUUCAGGAAACUGGGGCUAAUACCGGAUAGGAGCUCCUGCUGCAUGGUGGGGGUUGGAAAGUUUCGGCGGUUGGGGAUGGACUCGCGGCUUAUCAGCUUGUUGGUGGGGUAGUGGCUUACCAAGGCUUUGACGGGUAGCCGGCCUGGGAGGGUAAACGGCGACAUUGGGACUGAGAUAGGGCGCAGAAUCCUACGGGAGGCAGCAGUGGGAAAUAUUGCACAAUGGGCGGAAGCGAGAUGCAGCAACGCCGCGUGCGGGAUGACGGCCUUCGGGUUGUAAACCGCUUUCGCCUGUGACGAAGCGUGAGUGACGGUAAUGGGUAAAGAAGCACCGGCUAACUACGUG
This 468-nucleotide ribosomal RNA is filed under the name uncultured bacterium. RNAcentral describes it as "partial 16S ribosomal RNA". It matches the Rfam family "Bacterial small subunit ribosomal RNA", at positions 28 to 507 of the family's 1533-position model. The record is from RNAcentral.